CCCUUGUGGAGGAGGACGCCGAAGGUGGGGCUAAUGACUGGGGUGAAGUCGUAACAAGGUAGCCGUACCGGAAGGUGCGGCUGGAUCACCUCCUAACAGGGAGACAACAAAAUGUUUAAUAUUAUUAUUUUGUCACCUUAGGUCGAUCGGUAUCUCACGUUCUUAAUUUAAUUAAGAAUUUCAUUUCCUAAGUUUUUCUAGGUCACACCCAUUAUUUUUCCUGGGCCAUUAGCUCAGGUGGUUAGAGCGCACCCCUGAUAAGGGUGAGGUCCCUGGUUCAAGUCCAGGAUGGCCCAUAUCUCUAUGUUGGGGGUAUAGCUCAGUUGGUAGAGCGCCUGCUUUGCAAGCAGGAUGUCAGCGGUUCGAGUCCGCUUACCUCCACUGAUUACCACCUCUUCCAUAAUCUGUAGAAAGGAAAUUUUUUGAGUUGUGAUCAAAUUCUGAACGAAUCUAGCUUCCUAAUGAAUUCAUUAAGAUGCUGGACUCAUUGAAUUAAUUUCAUUGUUUUCAGAGAACCUUGACAACUGCAUAGAUUAUUUUUAAAGACAAUAAGCAUCUUUAAUGAUGCAGAUUUAUUAUUUGUGCGAAUGCAUUAAUAACAAUUCUAUUAAGCUGAUGCUUCAAUUUUGAAGUUAUUGGUCAAGCUACAAAGGGCUCACGGAGGA
Molecule: unclassified non-coding RNA, 665 nt
Filed under: uncultured Prochlorococcus sp.
Lineage: Bacteria; Bacillati; Cyanobacteriota; Cyanophyceae; Synechococcales; Prochlorococcaceae
Description: partial may contain 16S ribosomal RNA, 16S-23S ribosomal RNA intergenic spacer, and 23S ribosomal RNA
Rfam family: Bacterial small subunit ribosomal RNA (bases 1-96)
Source: RNAcentral